GGGAGACAGGGAGAGGGAGGGAGGGAAGAAGGGAGCCGGCGCUCCGCCCGCCACCCCCGCUGCCCCUUGGCGUCACAGAAUCACAGAAUAGUUGGGCGUGGAAGGGACCUCUGGAGAUCACCCAGUCCAACCCCCCUACCCAGGAAGGGUCACCUGGAGCAGGAGCCCAGAACUGGACACAGCACUCCAGAUGUGGCCGAUGUGCCACUCUGUCACCACCUCGGGGACACAGGACACUGCUGGGGACAGGCCCUGGCACAGACCCACAGCCCUGGACUCAGGCCAGCAAGGGGGAUGAGUCCCAGCUGAAGCACAAACUCACAGAAACACAUAGAACAGCAGCUUCCAGACUCUGGCACUGUAUGUAACUCCUUACUUUGAACCCCAAACCUCUCCUACAGAUGCCAAGGCCAGCACAAACACAAGAGCCUGUGCAACCUUUCCAACCACUCACAGCAGCACCAAGCAGCCUGCCACUGGGAACCACUACCUCCAAAAUCCAU
This is a long non-coding RNA of Corapipo altera (White-ruffed manakin), 503 nucleotides long. RefSeq lists it as uncharacterized. NCBI's taxonomy places the organism in Eukaryota, Metazoa, Chordata, Aves, Passeriformes, Pipridae. The transcript is spliced from 3 exons. The record is from RefSeq and is a predicted model, not a curated record.